CGGGAGUAACGUAUGGGGAUCUGCCCGAUAGAGGGGGGUAACUACUGGAAACGGUGGCUAAUACCGCAUAAUGUCUACGGACCAAAGCAGGGGCUCUUCGGACCUUGCACUAUCGGAUGAACCCAUAUGGGAUUAGCUAGUAGGUGGGGUAAAGGCUCACCUAGGCGACGAUCUCUAGCUGGUCUGAGAGGAUGAUCAGCCACACUGGGACUGAGACACGGCCCAG
This 226-nucleotide ribosomal RNA is filed under the name uncultured bacterium. RNAcentral's name for it is "partial 16S ribosomal RNA". It matches the Rfam family "Bacterial small subunit ribosomal RNA", at positions 106 to 334 of the family's 1533-position model. The record is from RNAcentral.